GGGAGGUCGACCAUGGAAGCCAUUUUCUUGGUACGACAACUUAUGGAGAGAUAUAGGGAGCAUAAGAAGGACUUGCAUAUGGUGUUCAUUGACUUGGAGAAGGCCUAUGAUAAGAUACCGCGGAAUGUCAUGUGGUGGGCCUUGGAGAAACACAAAGUCCCAGCAAAGUACAUUACCCUCAUCAAGGACAUGUACAAUAAUGUUGUGACAAGUGUUCGAACAAGUGAUGUCGACACCGAUGACUUCCCGAUUAAGAUAGGACUGCAUCAGGGGUCAGCUUUGAGCCCUUAUCUUUUUGCAUUGGUGAUGGUUGAGGUCACAAGGGGUACACAAGGAGAUAUCCCAUGGUGUAUGCUCUUUGCGGAUGAUGUGGUGCUAGUUGACGAUAGUCGGACGAGGUUAAAUAGGAAGUUAGAGUUAUGGAGACAAACCUUGGAAUCGAAAGGGUUUAGGCUUAGUAGAACUAAAACCGAGUACAUGAUGUGCGGUUUCAGUACUACUAGCUGUGAGGAGGAGGAGGUUAGCCUUGAUGGCCAGGUGGUACCUCGGAAGGACACCUUUCGGUAUUUGGGGUCAAUGUUGCAGGAGGAUGGGGGUAUUGAUGAAGAUGUGAACCAUCGAAUCAAAGCCGGAUGGAUGAAGUGGUGCCAAGCUUCUGGCAUUCUCUGUGACAAGAGAGUGCCACAAAAGCUAAAAGGCAAGUUCUACAGGACGGCGGUUCGACCCGCAAUGUUGUAUGGCGCGGAGUGUUGGCCGACUAAAAGGCGACAUGUU
This 774-nucleotide ribosomal RNA is filed under the name Triticum aestivum (bread wheat). Its description in RNAcentral is "partial small subunit ribosomal RNA". The record is from RNAcentral. Lineage: Eukaryota; Viridiplantae; Streptophyta; Magnoliopsida; Poales; Poaceae.